This 820-nucleotide long non-coding RNA is filed under the name Macaca mulatta (Rhesus monkey). RNAcentral's name for it is "lncRNA (ENSMMUG00000050078.1)". Lineage: Eukaryota; Metazoa; Chordata; Mammalia; Primates; Cercopithecidae. The record is from RNAcentral.
CCCCUGCCUCAUCCCUGUGAGUGUCCAGAAUGUUUCCACCAUCUCAGGGCUAAAAGAGCAUUGGCCCAGAUUAGGUCAGCAUGAUUCUUAUAGGAAGAGGGAUUCAGAAGGCUUUCGUGUCUGUCCUGCAAGUCUCUAGGAAGACUUUCUAGAGGUAAACACAUGAAAUUCACGUGAGAACGCAAGGAGGAAUUCACCAGAAGAUGACAGAAGUGGGGCUCUCCAGACUGGAGUAGAAGUAAAAGGCCCAAACAAAUGGGAAAGUGGAGAUUUAUAACUGGAGGCUCCCAGGCACUCCAGAUGUGGCGGAUGCAUGUGCACGUCUGUGGGACAUGGAAGAAGAGAGACAGUGGGUUUCAAGGAAGUCUGGAAACUGCACACUGCAGCCAGAUGGCCCCAACCUGGGGGACCGUCAUGGCACACUGGAGCAUGAAAUCAGAUUUUGGAGGGAGAGGAGGACGUGGUGUGGCAGAGGCCCAGGGAGGGGAUUCUCAGCCGGAGGUUUAUGGGAAACAAGAGAUGGCCUAGGUUUACAAACAACCAAACAGAUGUGGGAGAGGGAAGAUAAGCACUGGAGCGCCUUAGAGCCGGUUCUUCCCACUGCUCAAGUUCAACUCCUGACACUUGGUCAUGCCUCCUAUAUAACCCAGCAUCAAAUAAAGACUGAGCCAGUAGCCCAGUGUAUCUAAGAGCUGUGUCACCAUCCAUUGCCACCAGCUGGCUCUGCUGUCACAUCUGGGCUCUCAUUUGAGUGAUGUCUCACAGAAGCCUGAAAAAUGGAAUCACAAGCGGAGAGGCCAGCAAAGGCAGAAUGCCAGAG